Molecule: transfer RNA, 69 nt
Filed under: Pylocheles mortensenii
Lineage: Eukaryota; Metazoa; Arthropoda; Malacostraca; Decapoda; Pylochelidae
Description: tRNA-Trp
Source: RNAcentral
AAGAUUUUAAGUUAAUUAAACUUACAUCCUUCAAAGUUGUCAAAAAAAGUAUAAACCUUUUAAAUCUUA